RNAcentral lists this ribosomal RNA (466 nucleotides) under Vreelandella stevensii. RNAcentral's name for it is "partial 16S ribosomal RNA". It matches the Rfam family "Bacterial small subunit ribosomal RNA", at positions 338 to 795 of the family's 1533-position model. Lineage: Bacteria; Pseudomonadati; Pseudomonadota; Gammaproteobacteria; Oceanospirillales; Halomonadaceae. The record is from RNAcentral.
CCUACGGGUGGCAGCAGUGGGGAAUAUUGGACAAUGGGGGCAACCCUGAUCCAGCCAUGCCGCGUGUGUGAAGAAGGCCCUCGGGUUGUAAAGCACUUUCAGUGAGGAAGAACGCCUGGUGGUUAAUACCCAUCAGGAAAGACAUCACUCACAGAAGAAGCACCGGCUAACUCCGUGCCAGCAGCCGCGGGAAUACGGAGGGUGCGAGCGUUAAUCGGAAUUACUGGGCGUAAAGCGCGGCGUAGGUGGCUUGAUAAGCCGGUUGUGAAAGCCCCGGGCUCAACCUGGGAACGGCAUCCGGAACUGUCAAGCUAGAGUGCAGGAGAGGAAGGUAGAAUUCCCGGUGUAGCGGUGAAAUGCGUAGAGAUCGGGAGGAAUACCAGUGGCGAAGGCGGCCUUCUGGACUGACACUGACACUGAGGUGCGAAAGCGUGGGUAGCAAACAGGAUUAGAUACCCUGGUAGUC